UAGGGAAUCUUCGGCAAUGGGGGGAACCCUGACCGAGCAACGCCGCGUGAGUGAAGAAGGUUUUCGGAUCGUAAAGCUCUGUUGUUAAGGAAGAACGAGUGUGAGAAUGGAAAGUUCAUGCUGUGCCGGUACUUAACCAGAAAGGGACGGCUAACUACGUGCCAGAAGCCGCGGUAAUACGUAGGUCCCGAGCGUUGUCCGGAUUUCUUGGGCGUAAAGCGAGCGCAGGCGGUUAGAAAAGUCUGAAGUGAAAGGCAGUGGCUCAACCAUUGUACGCUUUGGACACUGUUUAACUUGAGUGCAGAAGGGGAGAGUGGAAUUCCAUGUGUAGCGGUGAAAUGCGUAGAUAUAUGGAGGAACACCGGUGGCGAAAGCGGCUCUCUGGUCUGUAACUGACGCUGAGGCUCGAAAGCGUGGGGAGCCAACAGG
This 429-nucleotide ribosomal RNA is filed under the name Bacteroidota bacterium. RNAcentral's name for it is "Bacteroidetes bacterium partial 16S ribosomal RNA". It matches the Rfam family "Bacterial small subunit ribosomal RNA", at positions 355 to 776 of the family's 1533-position model. The record is from RNAcentral. Lineage: Bacteria; Pseudomonadati; Bacteroidota.